GGCUACUGACAAGCGCCAGACCAAUUAUGCAACGGAGGAACGGAGAGACCUGCCUCUUCCCACCCCUUGCCGCGGAAGCUGCAGCGGUAUCUGAGUGGGCUGAGGACAACCGGGAGAUUCUGGAAAUUCGGUGCUUUACCCCAGACGGGCAUCCAAGGUGUCAUUGAAGUAGGAAGUCCCGCUUUUAACAGAAUUUUCAGUUACUGUGGUCUGUUAGAUGCUAAAGUGACGCUUUAUAAAAAUCUGGAAAUCAGUCAGUUUACAGGUUGUAAGCGCAACUAGCCCACAGAACACCUGUGCAAGUUUUAUAAAAGUGAGGAGACUCUCCAAGGGGUUAGGGAGUCAGCACUGGCCGUUUUCAGUUCAUGUUCGCUUUCACUGCUGCAGACCCUCGGACAGGGCAAGAGAGUCAACCAAACCCAGUGAAUCCACCACUUGAGAAUCGAAAAGGAAACUAGAGAACCCGAAGCAAGACUUUUCCUGAAAAUCCUACCUCAUUUAAGUAGUGGAGCCAGGAUAAUGGUUUUGGCAAGAGUAUGGCUUGAGUCUUGGCCUUUUACCAGAAGACUCUAGCUGUGCUGGUGGGCUGUUUUAGAAAAAGAAAUAGCAAUUUGUUAUUUCUUCUAAUUUUAAAAGCACGGAAAGUAGAGCAUUUCCUUAAUGACUAAAAGAUUGUUAAAAAUGAAAAAAAAACCACUUAGAUUCUAUAAUAUACAUGGUCAGUGGAGAAAGC
Manis pentadactyla (Chinese pangolin) is the source of this 733-nucleotide long non-coding RNA. RefSeq lists it as uncharacterized. The record is from RefSeq and is a predicted model, not a curated record. NCBI's taxonomy places the organism in Eukaryota, Metazoa, Chordata, Mammalia, Pholidota, Manidae. The transcript is spliced from 2 exons.